This 30-nucleotide non-coding RNA is filed under the name Mus musculus (house mouse). Lineage: Eukaryota; Metazoa; Chordata; Mammalia; Rodentia; Muridae. The record is from RNAcentral.
UGGGUCUCUCCUGCCUCUCUGGCUUCUUCC